AUUGAAACUCAAUAUUUGGCUUUUAAUUUCCUCCUCCUUUCUCUUCAAGAAACACCACAAAUUAAAUUAAAGUUGAUCGUAAAAUCCUUUGGUCUUAGCACGAAAAAACCAAGAAAAAUAAUAUGCUGUAUACAUCUUCAUUUCUUUGACGACUCAAUUACCUGCCACCUACAAAUGGUACGUCUUUUUAUAAAUAUAUAUAUAGAGAGAAUUAAUUAUAAGUAUAUUUCCAUUUUGUCUAGCUAUCACUUUUUAAUUACACGUCUCAUCCUUUUAGGGUCCUUUUGGUUAUUGGGAUUAUGAAAAUAAUUCCGGUAUAAAUUUGGUAUUAUUCUAUAGGAGUACUUCAAUUGAUUGUAUUUUUGAAAGUAAUAAUAAUUGUAUAAUUUUAUAUCAGAAUCUUGGUACUCCCUUCGGUCCAAAAUAAGUGAUUUUUUGGCUUUGUUCUUGUGGUCCAAAAUAAGUGAUUUUUCCAGAUUUCAAGAAUGAAUUAAUUAUUUUUUUCCUACAUUGCCUUUUGAGUAAUUAAUGUUGGAGUAUGUGUUAGGAGUGUUUAUAUGAAGAGAUAGUAAAGGUUAAUAUGGUCAAUUUUAUUGCUAAUUAAUGUUAAAAGGUGAGUUUCUUUAAUCUGUGUGAAAACAACAAAAAAAUUACUUAUUUUAGACCGGAGGGAGUAUUGUUUUAUACCAUAUGUAUUAUGAGAUAACAAUCCAAUGAUUAGGAUUAGCUAUUUGCUGAAUAAAACAAGUAAAAUGAAACUGCUUUAUUAUUUUGUUACUCACUAUUUUUCAACAUGGCUUCUAUUUCAAUCCUACUUAGAAAUGCUUUUCUUGAGCCGAGGUAGAGGCGGCGUAAGCUCAUAUAUGGCCAAAGUUAGGCCUAAAAUUCUUAUAUAUCAAUAAAAAAUUCUUACCUUUUAUAUAAAAAAAUUUACUUUUGUACUAAAAAUAUUUAAUAAAAGGUAAGAAUUUUCUAAAUAAAUAUUUUUAUUUGAAAUACCUAUAAAACUGUUAUUUCUAAAAAAUAAAAGGGGCCUCUCAAAUUUGGGGCUGAGGCACAAGCCUUAUUAUCUAUAAUACUAGAGUCAUCCUUGAGCCGAAAGUCUAUCGAAAACGGCCUCCUACCUACACAAGUAGGGAUAAGGUCUGUGCAUAAACUACCCUUUUCAGAUCCCACUUGUAAAAAUACUUUGGGAUAUAUUAUUAUUGUUGUUAUUAAUCUCAUUGUUAGUUUACAUGCAGUCUUUUGUUCCCAUGAUGCUUCGAGUUUUGGUCAGAUUUGUAACAUCUAUAGCAAGUGAACCAGCAACUUCAGUCACUACUAUUCUCUUUUACAGUGAGCUUCUUCCUCAGAGUACAGUGCUACAGAGAUUGAUUCGACAUGAAUUAGUUCUUAAUGACCAAGACAAUUAUCUGUUACAUUUACUCAUUUUCCUCUUGAGCUGUUUUGUAGCUUAAUUAUAGAUAUGUAUCUUAAAGUCGUUCAAGUAAAAAAUGAGUUAAUCAUUAUAGGCACAUUCAAGGUUUGAAAUUUAUGAGUUUGUACGACAAUCUCAAGUUAAUAGUAUAAUAAUAACUGGCCGAAUUCAGAGUAAACUUAUAGAUGGUUAGUGGAUUUCUUAGCAUAAAGUAUCCCGCAUUCACGCAAGGUCGAGGAAAGUGCC
Molecule: long non-coding RNA, 1663 nt
Filed under: Nicotiana tabacum (common tobacco)
Lineage: Eukaryota; Viridiplantae; Streptophyta; Magnoliopsida; Solanales; Solanaceae
Description: long non-coding RNA (NTAB_LNC001239)
Source: RNAcentral